RNAcentral lists this ribosomal RNA (506 nucleotides) under uncultured bacterium. RNAcentral describes it as "partial 16S ribosomal RNA". It matches the Rfam family "Bacterial small subunit ribosomal RNA", at positions 30 to 523 of the family's 1533-position model. The record is from RNAcentral.
AUUGAACGCUGACGGCAUGCCUUACACAUGCAAGUCGAACGGCAGCAUGAUCUAGCUUGCUAGAUUGAUGGCGAGUGGCGAACGGGUGAGUAAUACAUCGGAACGUGCCCUGUAGUGGGGGAUAACUAGUCGAAAGAUUAGCUAAUACCGCAUACGACCUGAGGGUGAAAGUGGGGGACCGCAAGGCCUCAUGCUAUAGGAGCGGCCGAUGUCUGAUUAGCUAGUUGGUGAGGUAAAGGCUCACCAAGGCGACGAUCAGUAGCUGGUCUGAGAGGACGAUCAGCCACACUGGGACUGAGACACGGCCCAGACUCCUACGGGAGGCAGCAGUGGGGAAUUUUGGACAAUGGGCGAAAGCCUGAUCCAGCAAUGCCGCGUGUGUGAAGAGGGCCUUCGGGUUGUAAAGCACUUUUGUCCGGAAAGAAAUGGCUCUGGUUAAUACCUGGGGUCGAUGACGGUACCGGAAGAAUAAGGACCGGCUAACUACGUGCCAGCCGCCGCCGUAA